CCCUUAGAUGUUCUGGGCCGUACGCGCGCUACACUGAUGCAUUCAACGAGUUUCUUCCUGGUCCGAGAGGAAUGGGUAACCUUUUGAAAGUGCAUCGUGAUAGGGAUAGACUAUUGCAAUUAUUGGUCUUCAACGAGGAAUUCCUAGUAGACGUAGUUCAUCAGACUGCAUCGAUUACGUCCCUGCCCUUUGUACACACCGCCCGUCGCUCCUACCGAUUGAAUGCUCAUGUGAGCCAUUCGGACUUUCAUCAUGCUGGUUUCCAGUUUUGAUGAAGGAAAGUCUUGCGAACCUUAUCAUUUAGAGGAAGGAGAAGUCGUAACA
RNAcentral lists this ribosomal RNA (324 nucleotides) under uncultured eukaryote. RNAcentral describes it as "partial 18S ribosomal RNA". It matches the Rfam family "Eukaryotic small subunit ribosomal RNA", at positions 1470 to 1796 of the family's 1831-position model. The record is from RNAcentral.